UCAGAAGCGCCGAAAGGCUGCUUUAACACCAUCGCGAACCUAUCCAUCAGCGUUGCUUCGGCGGGUUGGGGGCCACCUCUCCGGGGGUGGCGCCGCCCGCCGGAGGUACGAAACUCUUCUGAAUCUUAGUGGAAUCUCUGAGUAAGCAAGCAAAUAAUCA
Molecule: unclassified non-coding RNA, 160 nt
Filed under: uncultured Ascomycota
Lineage: Eukaryota; Fungi; Ascomycota
Description: sequence contains ITS1
Source: RNAcentral